This 415-nucleotide unclassified non-coding RNA is filed under the name fungal sp. Its description in RNAcentral is "partial internal transcribed spacer region". The stretch from base 1 to 46 matches the Rfam family "Eukaryotic small subunit ribosomal RNA", at positions 1786 to 1831 of the family's 1831-position model. The record is from RNAcentral. Lineage: Eukaryota; Fungi.
AAGUCGUAACAAGGUUUCCGUAGGUGAACCUGCGGAAGGAUCAUUAACACGUAUGUGAACCUUCAGUCGUACUCGUACGUCCGUUAGAAAAAGCAGCAAUCCCUGGUAAAUCAUCGCCGAACAGUUUUCGAUUCAGGGACGUCUGCAAGGAGCGUGCAUGUUGUGCGUGUAAGUGGCCUAGCAUCCCCAAGCAGUUAGUGUCUGAAAGUGUCACUAACGUUAGUGUCUGAAAGUGUCACUAACAUGUGUAAGGAUGACGCAGUCACGAUCGUUGGAGGCCCACACGGCCGACGACCGGGUCACUGGGUGCAAGCCCCCUUAUCACACCCCUGCUCUAUCUAUGGUGAUCCUGCGGGAAGUCCUGCGGUCGAACGCCGAAACCGAACAACUGUUAACAAUGGAUAUCUUGGUUCUC